Molecule: long non-coding RNA, 1035 nt
Filed under: Haliotis rubra (blacklip abalone)
Lineage: Eukaryota; Metazoa; Mollusca; Gastropoda; Lepetellida; Haliotidae
Description: uncharacterized LOC124258315, transcript variant X3
Source: RNAcentral
ACAGCAGCUGACAUGUCUGUAGUAUCCUGCCUGCAGCCCAUCAUAUACCAUCAUGUGUGGCUAUCACACGCUGUCUCCCAGCUCUCUGUAUGUUGUGACUGACACUCUGUCUCUCCAUUCUCUCUCUCUCUCUCUCUCUCUCUGUGUUGAGCUCCUACCUGCUUCUCUCCCCACCUCUCAACUAACUGUUGUGACCUAUUUCUCCACAAGUUGGUGAAGGUGAUACUGAUAUGUGUAUAUAUACGUUCAACUCGGCAUCAUUGAAAAUCAGCUUGUCUGGUUAUUGCUUAAUGAUUAAGUAUAAAUGCAGAAAAUAUGAAGGCAGUUUUUUAGUUCAAACUUGCAGGUGUUAUUUCUGUCAGAACACUCAAUAUUACUAUCCCAUCAUAUAUACUGACAAUAGGAAGUCUAGUGGGUGAAGUGUUCACUCAUCAUGUACAAUGUGUGAAGCCCACUUCAUAUUGGAAUGUGCGCUAUCACUUUAGAGCAGUGUAGGAAAGGAAGCUGUAUAGUUAGAGAAGCAUGGAAUGGGUGCUGUCUGUUUAGUACAGUAUGAGAAAGGGUGCUGUCUCUUUAGUAUGGUAUAAGAAAGGGUGCUGUCAGUUUAAAGCAGUAUGGAACAGGUGCUGUCAGUCUAAAGCAGUAUGGAACAGGUGCUGUCAGUCUAAAGCAGUAUGGAACAGGUGAUGUCAGUCUAAAGCAGAAUGGAACAGGUGCUGUCAAUCUAAAGCAGUAUGGAACAGGUGCUGUCAGUCUAAAGCAGUAUGGAACAGGUGAUGUCAGUCUAAAGCAGUAUGGAACAGGUGCUGUCAGUCUAAAACAGUAUGGAACAGGUGCUGUCAGUCUAAAACAGUAUGGAAUAGGUGCUGUCAGUCUAAAGCAGUAUGGAACAGGUGCUGUCAGUUUAAAGCAGUAUGGAACAGGUGCUGUCAGUCUAAAGCAGUAUGGAAUAGGUGCUGUCAGUCUAAAGCAGUAUGGAACAGGUGUUGUCAGUCUUAGCAGUAUGGAAUAGGUGCUGUCAGUCUAAAGCAGUAU